GGCAGAUGAUGUCUUUCUCACGAUGGUCUGCGGAUGCCUCUGUGGGCAGUGCCGAUAUCACCAAUGGUUCAGCUGAUGCCAGGAC
Small nucleolar RNA from Microcebus murinus (gray mouse lemur), 85 nucleotides. Ensembl annotates it as small nucleolar RNA, C/D box 35A. Its record names the gene SNORD35A. NCBI's taxonomy places the organism in Eukaryota, Metazoa, Chordata, Mammalia, Primates, Cheirogaleidae. The record is from Ensembl.